UACGUAGGGUGCGAGCGUUAAUCGGAAUUACUGGGCGUAAAGCGUGCGCAGGCGGUUUUGUAAGCCAGGUGUGAAAUCCCCGGGCUUAACCUGGGAACUGCGCUUGUGACUGCAAGACUCGAGUACGGCAGAGGGGGGUAGAAUUCCACGUGUAGCAGUGAAAUGCGUAGAGAUGUGGAGGAAUACCGAUGGCGAAGGCAGCCCCCUGGGUCGAUACUGACGCUCAUGCACGAAAGCGUGGGGAGCAAACAGG
Molecule: ribosomal RNA, 253 nt
Filed under: uncultured bacterium
Lineage: Bacteria
Description: partial 16S ribosomal RNA
Rfam family: Bacterial small subunit ribosomal RNA
Source: RNAcentral